AGCAGCCGCGGUAAUUCCAGCUCCAAUAGCGUAUAUUAAAGUUGUUGCAGUUAAAAAGCUCGUAGUUGAAUUUCGGGGUUAGUAGGUUGGUCAUGCCUCUGGUAUGUACUGGUCUCACUGAUUCCUCCUUCCUGAUGAGCCGUAAUGCCAUUAUUGAUGUUGCGGGAUUGGAUCUGUUACUUUGAAAAAAUUAGAGUGUUUAAAGCAAGCAUAACGCUUGAAUACAUUAGCAUGGAAUAAUGAAAUAGGACGUUCGAUCCUAUUUUGUUGGUUUCUAGGAUUGACGUAAUGAUUAAUAGGGAUAGUUGGGGGCAUUAGUAUUCAAUUGUCAGAGGUGAAAUUCUUGGAUUUAUUGAAGACUAACUACUGCGAAAGCAUUUGCCAAGGAUGUUUUCAUUAAUCAAGAACGAAAGUUAGGGGAUCGAAGACGAUCAGAUACCGUCGUAGUCUUAACCAUAAACUAUGCCGACUAGGGAUCGGAUGAUGUUAAUUUUUUCAAUGACUCAUUCGGCGCCUUACG
This 520-nucleotide unclassified non-coding RNA is filed under the name uncultured Glomus. Its description in RNAcentral is "SSU rRNA". It matches the Rfam family "Eukaryotic small subunit ribosomal RNA", at positions 569 to 1092 of the family's 1831-position model. Lineage: Eukaryota; Fungi; Glomeromycota; Glomeromycetes; Glomerales; Glomeraceae. The record is from RNAcentral.